AGGAAUAUUGGUCAAUGGGCGAGAGCCUGAACCAGCCAAGUAGCGUGAAGGAUGACUGCCCUAUGGGUUGUAAACUUCUUUUAUAAAGGAAUAAAGUCGGGUAUGCAUACCCGUUUGCAUGUACUUUAUGAAUAAGGAUCGGCUAACUCCGUGCCAGCAGCCGCGGUAAUACGGAGGAUCCGAGCGUUAUCCGGAUUUAUUGGGUUUAAAGGGAGCGUAGAUGGAUGUUUAAGUCAGUUGUGAAAGUUUGCGGCUCAACCGUAAAAUUGCAGUUGAUACUGGAUAUCUUGAGUGCAGUUGAGGCAGGCGGAAUUCGUGGUGUAGCGGUGAAAUGCUUAGAUAUCACGAAGAACUCCGAUUGCGAAGGCAGCCUGCUAAGCUGCAACUGACAUUGAGGCUCGAAAGUGUGGGUAUCAAACAGGAUUAGAUACCCUGGUAGUCCACACGGUAAACGAUGAAUACUCGCUGUUUGCGAUAUACUGCAAGCGGCCAAGCGAAAGCGUUAAGUAUUCCACCUGGGGAGUACGCCGGCAACGGUGAAACUCAAAGGAAUUGACGGGGGCCCGCACAAGCGGAGGAACAUGUGGUUUAAUUCGAUGAUACGCGAGGAACCUUACCCGGGCUUAAAUUGCAGAUGAAUUACGGCGAAAGCCGUAAGCCGCAAGGCAUCUGUGAAGGUGCUGCAUGGUUGUCGUCAGCUCGUGCCGUGAGGUGUCGGCUUAAGUGCCAUAACGAGCGCAACCCUUGUUGUCAGUUACUAACAGGUUCCGCUGAGGACUCUGACAAGACUGCCAUCGUAAGAUGUGAGGAAGGUGGGGAUGACGUCAAAUCAGCACGGCCCUUACGUCCGGGGCUACACACGUGUUACAAUGGGGGGUACAGAGGGCCGCUACCACGCGAGUGGAUGCCAAUCCCCAAAACCUCUCUCAGUUCGGACUGGAGUCUGCAACCCGACUCCACGAAGCUGGAUUCGCUAGUAAUCGCGCAUCAGCCACGGCGCGGUGAAUACGUUCCCG
RNAcentral lists this ribosomal RNA (1016 nucleotides) under uncultured bacterium. RNAcentral describes it as "bacterial SSU rRNA". It matches the Rfam family "Bacterial small subunit ribosomal RNA", at positions 357 to 1376 of the family's 1533-position model. The record is from RNAcentral.